RNAcentral lists this ribosomal RNA (512 nucleotides) under uncultured bacterium. RNAcentral describes it as "partial 16S ribosomal RNA". It matches the Rfam family "Bacterial small subunit ribosomal RNA", at positions 28 to 523 of the family's 1533-position model. The record is from RNAcentral.
GAUGAACGCUGGCGGCAUGCCUAAUACAUGCAAGUCGAACGAGAGGAAGGAAAGCUUGCUUUUCUGAAUCUAGUGGCGAACGGGUGAGUAACACGUAGGUAACCUGCCCAUGUGCCCGGGAUAACUUCUGGAAACGGAUGCUAAAACCGGAUAGGUAGCAGACAAGCAUUUGACUGCUAUUAAAGUGGCUAAGGCCAUGAACAUGGAUGGACCUGCGGUGCAUUAGCUAGUUGGUGAGGUAACGGCCCACCAAGGCGACGAUGCAUAGCCGGCCUAAGAGGGCGGAGGGCCACAUUGGGACUGAGACACGGCCCAAACGCCUACGGGAGGCAGCAGUAGGGAAUUUUCGUCAAUGGGGGGAACCCUGAACGAGCAAUGCCGCGUGAGUGAGGAAGGUCUUCGGAUCGUAAAGCUCUGUUGUAAGAGAAAAACGACAUUCAUAGGGAAUGAUGAGUGAGUGAUGGUAUCUUACCAGAAAGUCACGGCUAACUACGUGCCAGCCGCCGCCGUAA